This 299-nucleotide ribosomal RNA is filed under the name uncultured bacterium. RNAcentral's name for it is "partial 16S ribosomal RNA". It matches the Rfam family "Bacterial small subunit ribosomal RNA", at positions 475 to 776 of the family's 1533-position model. The record is from RNAcentral.
CUAUGCGCCUUGCCAGCCCGCUCAGGUGUGCCAGCAGCCGCGGUAAUACGGAGGAUGCGAGCGUUAUCCGGGAUUUAUGGGUUUAAAGGGUGCGUAGGCGGACUGUCAAGUCAGCGGUAAAAUACGGGGGCUCAACCUCCGCCCGCCGUUGAAACUGACGGUCUUGAGUGGGCGAGAAGUAUGCGGAAUGCGUGGUGUAGCGGUGAAAAUGCAUAGAUAUCACGCAGAACUCCGAUUGCGAAGGCAGCAUACCGGCGCCCAACUGACGCUGAAGCACGAAAGCGUGGGUAUCGAACAGG